RNAcentral lists this ribosomal RNA (453 nucleotides) under uncultured bacterium. RNAcentral's name for it is "bacterial SSU rRNA". It matches the Rfam family "Bacterial small subunit ribosomal RNA", at positions 29 to 524 of the family's 1533-position model. The record is from RNAcentral.
AGCGAACGCUGGCGGCAGGCUUAACACAUGCAAGUCGAACGGGCGUAGCAAUACGUCAGUGGCAGACGGGUGAGUAACGCGUGGGAACGUACCUUUUGGUUCGGAACAACCCAGGGAAACUUGGGCUAAUACCGGAUAAGCCCUUACGGGGAAAGAUUUAUCGCCGAAAGAUCGGCCCGCGUCUGAUUAGCUUGUUGGUGAGGUAACGGCUCACCAAGGCGACGAUCAGUAGCUGGUCUGAGAGGAUGAUCAGCCACAUUGGGACUGAGACACGGCCCAAACUCCUACGGGAGGCAGCAGUGGGGAAUAUUGGACAAUGGGCGCAAGCCUGAUCCAGCCAUGCCGCGUGAGUGAUGAAGGCCCUAGGGUUGUAAAGCUCUUUUGUGCGGGAAGAUAAUGACGGUACCGCAAGAAUAAGCCCCCGGCUAACUUCGUGCCAGCCGCCGCCGUAAU